CGGAGGAAGGUGGGGAUGACGUCAAAUCAUCAUGCCCCUUAUGUCUUGGGCUUCACGCAUGCUACAAUGGCCGGUACAGAGGGCUGCUAUACCGUGAGGUGGAGCGAAUCUCAAAAAGCCGGUCUCAGUUCGGAUUGGGGUCUGCAACUCGACCCCAUGAAGUCGGA
This 167-nucleotide ribosomal RNA is filed under the name uncultured Actinomycetes bacterium. RNAcentral describes it as "uncultured actinobacterium partial 16S ribosomal RNA". It matches the Rfam family "Bacterial small subunit ribosomal RNA", at positions 1164 to 1330 of the family's 1533-position model. The record is from RNAcentral. Lineage: Bacteria; Bacillati; Actinomycetota; Actinomycetes.